RNAcentral lists this ribosomal RNA (390 nucleotides) under uncultured archaeon. RNAcentral's name for it is "bacterial SSU rRNA". It matches the Rfam family "Archaeal small subunit ribosomal RNA", at positions 355 to 747 of the family's 1478-position model. The record is from RNAcentral.
AUGUGGGAAACCACGAUGCGGGAAACCCAAGUGCCAGCACUAUGUGUUGGCUGUCCUCAACUGUUCGUAAGUUGGGAAGAAAGUGCUGGGUAAGACGGGUGCCAGCCGCCGCGGUAAUACCCGCAGCACAAGUGGUGGUCAUUAUUAUUGGGCCUAAAGCGUCCGUAGCUGGUUUGUUAAAUGCCUGGGUAAAUCGAUGCGCUUAACGUAUCGAACUCCGGGUAGACUGGCAAACUCGAGACCGGGAGAGGUGUAGGCUACUCGCGGGGUAGGGGUAAAAUCCUGUAAUCCUGCGGGGAGGACCAGUGGCGAAGGCGCUACACUAGAACGGCUCUGACAGUGAGGGACGAAGCCCUGGGGCGCAAACCGGAUUAGAUACCCCGGUAGUCC